RNAcentral lists this ribosomal RNA (253 nucleotides) under uncultured bacterium. Its description in RNAcentral is "partial 16S ribosomal RNA". It matches the Rfam family "Bacterial small subunit ribosomal RNA", at positions 524 to 776 of the family's 1533-position model. The record is from RNAcentral.
UACGGGGGGGGCAAGCGUUGUUCGGAAUUACUGGGCGUAAAGGGCUCGUAGGUGGCCAACUAAGUCAGACGUGAAAUCCCUCGGCUUAACCGGGGAACUGCGUCUGAUACUGGAUGGCUUGAGUUUGGGAGAGGGAUGCGGAAUUCCAGGUGUAGCGGUGAAAUGCGUAGAUAUCUGGAGGAACACCGGUGGCGAAGGCGGCUUCCUGGACCGACACUGACGCUGAGGCGCGAAAGCUAGGGGAGCAAACGGG